CCUACGGGUGGCAGCAGUGGGGAAUAUUGCGCAAUGGGCGAAAGCCUGACGCAGCGACGCCGCGUGAGGGAUGAAGGUCUUCGGAUCGUAAACCUCUGUCAGCAGGGAAGAACGGUCACUGUGCUAAUCAGCAGUGAAUUGACGGUACCUGCAAAGGAAGCACCGGCUAACUCCGUGCCAGCAGCCGCGGUAAUACGGAGGGUGCGUGCGUUAAUCGGAAUUACUGGGCGUAAAGCGCUCGUAGGCGGUAUGUCAAGUCAAGGGUGAAAUCCCCGAGCUCAACGUGGGAACUGCCUGUGAAACUGGCAAACUGGAGUGUGAGAGAGGAUAGUGGAAUUCCAGGUGUAGGAGUGAGAUCCGUAGAUAUCUGGAGGAACAUCAGUGGCGAAGGCGACUAUCUGGAACAUAACUGACGCUGAGGAGCGAAAGCGUGGGUAGCAAACAGGAUUAGAUACCCCUGUAGUC
Molecule: ribosomal RNA, 465 nt
Filed under: uncultured bacterium
Lineage: Bacteria
Description: partial 16S ribosomal RNA
Rfam family: Bacterial small subunit ribosomal RNA
Source: RNAcentral